RNAcentral lists this ribosomal RNA (255 nucleotides) under uncultured bacterium. RNAcentral describes it as "partial 16S ribosomal RNA". It matches the Rfam family "Bacterial small subunit ribosomal RNA", at positions 524 to 777 of the family's 1533-position model. The record is from RNAcentral.
UACGUAGGGUGCGAGCGUUGCCCGGAUUUAUUGGGCGUAAAGGGCGCGUAGGCGGCUCUGCACGUCCGUUGUGAAAUCGCCCGGCUCAACUGGGCGGGGUCAGCGGAUACGGCGGAGCUUGAGCAAGCUAGGGGGCAAUGGAAUUCCCGGUGUAGUGGUGAAAUGCGUAGAGAUCGGGAAGAAUCACCCGUGGCGAAGGCGGCUCACUGGGCUGACCUUGACGCUGAGGCGCGAAGGCGUGGGGAGCGAACGGGG